This 376-nucleotide unclassified non-coding RNA is filed under the name soil metagenome. RNAcentral's name for it is "partial contains 5.8S ribosomal RNA, internal transcribed spacer 2, and large subunit ribosomal RNA". The stretch from base 1 to 120 matches the Rfam family "5.8S ribosomal RNA", at positions 35 to 154 of the family's 154-position model. The record is from RNAcentral.
GAUGAAGAACGUAGUGAAAUGCGAUAAGUAAUGUGAAUUGCAGAAUUCAGUGAAUCAUCGAAUCUUUGAACGCAUCUUGCGCUCCUUGGUAUUCUGAGGAGCAUGCCUGUUUGAGUGUCAUUAAAUUCUCAACUACACUGACUUUGAAUUGGUGUGGCUUGGAUUUGGGGGGAAAAUUGUUGUGGGCUUUUUGUAUAGUCUGCUCCCCUGAAAUUGAUUAGCGGUACCUUUGUGGAACUGUCUACAGGUGUGAUAAUUAUCUACAUCUUAGACAUCUGCUGGAAUGCUGCUCUCUAAACCUUACUUGUAUUGACAAUCUUGACCUCAAAUCAGGUAGGACUACCCGCUAAACUUAAGCAUAUCAAUAAGCGGAGGA